RNAcentral lists this ribosomal RNA (253 nucleotides) under uncultured bacterium. Its description in RNAcentral is "partial 16S ribosomal RNA". It matches the Rfam family "Bacterial small subunit ribosomal RNA", at positions 524 to 776 of the family's 1533-position model. The record is from RNAcentral.
AACGUAGGACGCAAGCGUUAUCCGGAAUUACUGGGCGUAAAGCGUGCGUAGGCGGUUCGUUAAGUCAGCUGUGAAAGCCCCGGGCUCAACCUGGGAACUGCGGUUGAAACUGGCGAACUAGAAUCUGGCAGAGGGGGGUGGAAUUCCACGUGUAGCAGUGAAAUGCGUAGAGAUGUGGAGGAACACCGAUGGCGAAGGCAGCCCCCUGGGCUGAGAUUGACGCUCAGGCACGAAAGCGUGGGGAGCAAACAGG